Molecule: non-coding RNA, 335 nt
Organism: Heterocephalus glaber (naked mole-rat)
Lineage: Eukaryota; Metazoa; Chordata; Mammalia; Rodentia; Bathyergidae
Source: RefSeq, a predicted model, not a curated record
CAUAUGUGUGAAACCAAUUUGCCAAUCUUCCCUGGGUCAUUGUCCCCUGGACUGGUGAUUGACAUACCUCAGAGGUCUCAGAUGUCCCUUGGACCAUCACAUCCACCAAACUGGGUAAAUCUUGCAGUGGAAGGAAAGACUCCAGCUGACCCCUGAGUCCCACAAGUGCCUCCAACUGAUCCCUGAGAAGGACCAGAAGGUCAUCACUCUCCUGACACCUCUACUGCCUCACUCUGGGACUGAACCACACUGCCUCCACCCCAUUCCUCUCCUCUCUUCUCCCCACAGGAUGCCCACACAGUCCCCAGUGAUGCUGGAAAAAGUCAUGAGAAACU